RNAcentral lists this ribosomal RNA (500 nucleotides) under uncultured bacterium ms2. RNAcentral describes it as "bacterial SSU rRNA". It matches the Rfam family "Bacterial small subunit ribosomal RNA", at positions 360 to 877 of the family's 1533-position model. Lineage: Bacteria; Pseudomonadati; Pseudomonadota; Alphaproteobacteria. The record is from RNAcentral.
AAUAUUGGACAAUGGGCGCAAGCCUGAAUCCAGCCAUGCCGCGUGGGUGAUGAAGGCCCUAGGGUUGUAAAGCCCUUUUGGCGGGGAAGAUAAUGACGGUACCCUCAGAAGAAGCCCCGGCAAACUUCCUGCCAGCAGCCGCGGUAAUACGAAGGGGGCAAGCGUUGCUCGGAAUCACUGGGCGUAAAGCGCACGUAGGCGGCUUUUUAAGUAAGGGGUGAAAUCCUGGAGCUCAACUCCAGAACUGCCUUUGAUACUGAGAAGCUUGAGUCCGGGAGAGGUGAGUGGAACUGCGAGUGUAGAGGUGAAAUUCGUAGAUAUUCGCAAGAACACCAGUGGCGAAGGCGGCUCACUGGCCCGGUACUGACGCUGAGGUGAGAAAGCGUGGGGAGCUAACAGGAUUAGAUACCCUGGUAGUCCACACCGUAAACGAUGGAUGCUAGCCGUUGUCGGGUUUACCCGUCAGUGGCGCAGCUAACGCAUUAAGCAUCCCGCCUGGG